CGGGACGCGGCUGUGGCGCUCUUCGGCCUCUGCCCUUCUCCCUCUCACCGAACGCUGAGUUUCACCCCCGAAACCGGGACACAGGAGCCUCGCUGCCUUUAUCCACAGAAUCACCAACGUUGGAAGAGACCUGAAGGGAAGAGGAGACUGGCCCCCACCCACCUCUGUCAUGGAGUAGAAUAAUUCUCCAGAAACACCUAUUUGCAAUCCUGUUUUCUCAGGAGCUUGGCGGAUUUUGUCAGAGGGUCAGUUAUUCCCACACUUCACACCAAAAUUUGUGGGGUAUGCUGGCACUGAACUGCAGCCCACACCCCUCCUCCAAAGUCUUGAUGAGAUGUACGAGCUCCCAGGUUAUCCCAUUCCUGGGCAUCAUCAGGCUUUGCAGAAUGAGCACCUUGCUGGGGAAAGCACAGUCCCUUCUGCCUGCAUGUAUGGUGCUUUCAUGGUAAGUGGAGAUUGGAUGAGUGGUGUGGAAAAUGCAGGUACAAAUACCGAUUCAUGGAUAACCUGCAAUCCCUCCUUUGAUGCAUCCCCAACUUUCCUUUUCAGGGUCAGCUUCCAGUAGUGGCCAUGCACCCAGUCCAUGUAAGAAAAAUAAAUGCAGAUCGGUUAGAAUCCCCUGGCUGUUUUCAAGUUAUAAAAUAGUUAUCCCUUCUCCUUUUGUGUCAUUAUUUUUUAAGCAAAACACUAUUAGAUUUAGCAAUUCCCUGGUAUUUGUAGAAGUUUGAUCACAGUUAUACAACAUUAGGUUACAUUACUCUGAGUGCUUUAAUGUUCCUAAUAAUUAGUUAUUAAUAAUUAGGUUCAUGAGCAACAGAGCUCACAAUUUAUGGUGGUUGUUAUCUCUCUGAUUUGUGAUCAUUUUCCAUGCAGAUGUGCCUGUGUACAGCAAUUUAGGUGCCACAUAAAUCAAAAUAUUUUGUCAGUGUAUUUGGCUGCACUGAGAAAAAUCUGAAGUUUCUUGUAUCUUUUCAUUUUUUUGUCUUCCACUGCAUCACUAAGAAAGUUUAUUGUCUUGUCAUGUGGUAAUAAGAAUUUCAGCAGUCUAUCUAAAAGGAAUAGAUCCAGCAAUUACAAAACUCACUAAGAAGUAAAUGAGGCAGCACUUCCAUUGCAGAAUGCUUAUGAUCAGUUCUGAUAACGCAAGUAGCAAAAAAAAUGCUUGGUGGGGCUGAAAAGUGUGGUUUUAAAAGUAUGUUUGCAAAGCUAUCAUAAAAAUAGGCAAGGAUAUGUAUUUUAUUAGCUGACUUCGAAAAUAUUUGUAUAACUCUGUUUGCAUCACUGUAUAUGUCUACAUAUUUCUGUUUUUUUCAGAAUGAUCUCAAGGUCAGUCAGAGCUCCUGGGAACUUAAGCUAUAUUUUUCUAGUAAGUUAUUUCAGUCUUCCAAGUCCAAUUUAAGUAUAAACACAGUUUCCAUGCACAGCAGGUUUACAGUAUCUCUGUUUGCUUAUGUUAAAAGUUACCGGCUACCCAGGUCGGUUCAGCCAGUCAGAUUGCCCUCUUCAAUAAACAUUCUGACACCACUUUCAGGUUUUGAGUGUGUGUGUGUUUUGGGGAACGUGUCACACUGUGUGAUGGAUUGCUUAUUCCAUUCCUAGGCUUAGGUGGGAAACUUUUGGGGUUGUGAUGUGUCACAGACCUCAUCUCGUUAAUGUACCUGGAACAGUUGAGCACAAUGUCACAGGAAAAUGCAUUUUGGGAUGCUCCGGUGUUGCAAUUGCAAUGGAAAGCUGUCGAUUCCUUUGUCGGAAAUCUUCUUUGUGAGUAUGGCAGCUGAAUUGAGGAUUUAACAGGCUGAGAUUGAGGAGCUGCCUUAGUGUUCCUGUUUCACAGGUGAAAUCUGAGCGAGAAAAUAAAUAGGAAAAAUACAUUCUGUAUAGUGGAACUAUCAUUCAGCACCUGGACCUGAUUUUCAUUACAGUUCUUUAUUAUGGCUUAAAUACCCGCUGCAGAAAGUGACAUUGCAUUUGCUAGUCCAGGAACAAUCCCAAGAAGGAAAUUUCUCUGAGCUACCAUUUAUUCAGAGGGACAAUAACAAAGGGGAGCAACUUACUUUUGUACGGGUGAGAUACACUCCUGCUUUCCUGUUCCCUUUCAGUGCUUUUGUGGCUGACUGGCACAGUCACACCAGCCAGGCUCUAAGUGCACUGAAUACACAGCAAGGAUUAGGAGAUGAUACCAUGCAGAGAUGCUGCUCAGCCCAUCAGCUCAGAGGUCAGAAGAUCUCUGUUCCCAUCUCGGUUCCAAAGGACAUGGCAUGUUUGCUCAGUAAACUUCCCCAACUACUCCAUUGUGUGUUCCUUGAUAUCCCUCUGUGUUUGCUCCUUUUUAAAGCAGAAAUGCUAGUGGUGGUAUGUGUCCAGAAACUUGGGAAAACAGACAUCCAGAAUUCCAAGGUGUUAAAGGACUGUCCUCAUGCCUAUUACCUUCAAUGAGAUAUUUCCAAUACUUAAAUUUAAGCCCAUGCUUAACUGCUCGCAGAAUCUUUUGGGUUUGAUUAGCAUUAUUCCAGGAUCAUUUACAUUUCUAUGAUCCUCUCCCUUGUUCAUCAGUUCCCAAACUUCUUACAUCCUGGAUUACUCUUGGCUGUCACAGUUUCUUUACAGGGCGCUAUCCAAGUUUAUCAUUGCACUUCUAAUCAAAAUAGCUACCUCUGAUAUCCUUCCACAAACCAAGUGCCUUAUGCCAUCAAAUCUUCCUUGCCAAGUAUGACUGUUAACUUGACUUCCAGAAAACCAAGAAUGUGUCAGAAUGACAGGUUGCCUUUCACUACAUUGAAUACAUUCCUUUUUCUCCCUUAGCAGUGGCUUCUGGAUUGUUUCCUUGUUAUUUAAAGCGAAAACAAAACAAAACCAGAUACAAGGUUGUGAAUGCUGUCAUAGGUGUUUGCUCAUGGGUUCUUCAGUCUCCUGGAGCUGCUGAUCUCCUGCUGUAAAACAGUAAAAUCUAGAUGUUUGUCCCUAGGCUGUAAUAGCUCUGAGAAUGGUUUGUGUAACAGUGUGAUCAGCAGCCUAAUGAAGAAAAGCAGAAAGUGUGAAUAAAAAUGUGUUUCUUUCCUGGAAGGGAGAGUACAUUGGCAGGCAGAGAAGGAAAAAAAAGAGAAGCGUCCUGUCUGGAGUGAAGAGUCUUAAGGGAAGAUUCACUGGGAUUUCUUACAAAAAAUGAAAUGUUAACAUUAGUGUUAAAAAGGAGAUCUUUCUGCAGAGUUAAGUUCUUUGUUUAACAGACUUCUUCCUUCAGAGCACUGUUUGCUCUUUGUUACUUCGUGAGUAACUUUUAUUACCAGAAAAGUACCCAAACAUUUUUUUUUGGUUGCUCUUUUAAAAAAAUCCCCUUGAGCUUGGAGUUUCUCCGGACAGAGUCCUUCCCUUCCCCUACAGCCCCGCAGUCCUUGGGCACGCACUCUGCAGAGGGUCAGGUUGCAUCCUCAUUAGCAGUUUGUUUUAUUGCUGUUUGCUGUGGGACACAACCGGGAAUGUUUCUGGCCAAGCCCGGUGCUGCUGCCCUUCUUCUCUCCGUGGCUCCCGGAGCCAAGCACAGCCUCUCACCUCGGCCCAGGCUUACCGUGAGUGGGCAUCCAGGAAUGUCCCUUGCAGUACUUCCCUCUUCCCAAUGGAGCUUUGCAAGCUGCCUGAGCUGUUGGGUUCACUCAUGCAGAGUUAGGCAGCACAUUUUCCAUAGUGAUUUCUGUGUGUACAUGUCUGCGUGUACUUUUAAUCUCUGUAAAUCCCUACCAGGCUCACUUUGUUCUUCGACAUGCCAUGGCUUAUGAACAAAAAUCAUCAGGUCCUGAGCCUUUCAUCUCCAGAGGACUCCUUAAUACAUUGCAGAGUAUCAUUACUUUUGAUACUUGGUGAGUACAGUAGCUACUAAGAUAAUACAAGUAUGAAAGCCUCAACAACUAGAGGCAUAUUGAUUUGCAGUUCUCAAAUUUCAUUUAUAAAAAAUAUUUCUAGCCCUCAUGGUUGCAGGGGAAAAAGACGGGAAAUGCAAAUGAUGCAAAUGUAAAUGAUGGAAAUGUAAAUGAUGCCAAACAUAAUGGUUUGUGAGCUGUUAAGCUGAGGUGAUGCCACAUGUUUGAUAGAAAGGCUUUGCUGUUGGGGUGACAGAUAACCUGAAUCCCCAGCUCUGGGCAGAAGAAUGUCAGCAGAGGAUGCUGAAGCCAAGAGGCACUGGAUCACAUCAGCCCCAUCCAGCUGGGAUACCAUCAAAGUUGUUGUCUUCUGCCUAGAAACUGCUCCCAGAACUUCCUCCUCCUCUGCUUCAUCUCCCUGGGCCGAGUGCAGUUUUUGUUAAGGUCAUGUAGGGGUAUUCGGAGAGUUGAACACCUUUGCUGUUCAGGCACAGCAAGAAAGAUGGAUGAAAGUGUCCCAAAUGAAAUCUAUUUUGUAAACUCAUGUUGGGAAUCCUUAUGGUUGGCAGCAUGAAACCGUAUCCUCUCUUCAUGUGGGCCAUGCUUGCAUCGCCACAGAGAUGUUAGUUUUGAGUGCCUUUCUGGGGAUCAGAUGCAUGUUCUUUCUGUAAUGAAGUGGCUGUUGUGAAGUUUGCCUUCUAAAGCUUACCCCUUGGGCUCCUGGGGAAAAACAAGCCUGAAGCUGCCAAUAUCUAACUUUUAAUUAUUAUUCAGUUCUGGGGCAUAACCACCCUGGUUACAUUCAUGAAAGUCAGGAAUCGUGCUUAUGCAAUUCUUUUGGCAUUGUAAAUAGAGCCCCAGAGAAAUUUGUUUUGAUUUUAGUAGUAACUUUUCUGAGAGAUGACUUUUACUUUUAAUAAAUUAUUUACUUUCAAUUACAAAAUAUAAAAUUAGAGGUGUAAAAUAUAAAAUUAAAUAACUCACCUGUGUCUAGUUAGAAUAGUAUCAUUUCCCAGAAGAUCAGAAAUUUACCCAUCUGCCUUGUAAAAUGAAGGUCUGAUAAAUAGCUCUUUUUUUUUCUGCCUAUCAUCAGUAAAAGCCUUGAACUAAAUAUGGUAAGAAAAAAAAAUGAAACAUAUUCAGUAUAAAUAUAGAUACGAAUAUCAUGACAUGUAAAAUUGGUCUCUAAAAAUAGUGAAGGAAAAAGGCUCAGCAACAUAAAUGUGUAACUAAUAUGUCAAAUAGUUCUUAAGUUAUUCACAAUAUAAUAUGACAAGUUGCAAUAUGGUAUAAAGUAGAGGAGGGGAGGUGAGAACAUGGGAAGUAAAUUCUCAUUUUUAGCUUUUCAGCUGGGGGAAGAACACAGUCUGUGAAAAAAUAAGAAACAAUAUGCAUGCAAAAUUUAGAUACUUUUAUAUUAAUUACUAUCCAACAAAUGUUGCCUACAGCUAACAGAGUGAAAAUGAUUAGAUGGAAGGCUUUGAUUUUUCAAUAAACUUCUCUCUAAGGAGGGAAAAAAGAAAAUGAUAACACCGUGUUGUUUGUAUUACAGACCAUAUACAACUAAUAUCUGGAUCUCAUUAUGCUGGGAACUGUUCAAAUGCAGGUAGAAAAAUGGUGUCUUUCACAAAAAAGCAGCAAAAUAAUUUGCACAAAAGAACAAAGAUGAAUGUACAGUAAUAAGGAACAGCUGAAGGAGAGCAAAAGAUCACAAAGAAUCUUCUUUUGUUUGCCACAUAUGUAUGCAAUAGAGCUGGAAGGAGAAAAGUAUUUUGAUUUCUCAGGGAACCUUGAUGUUCCAAGAGUUUGAAAUUGCCUGUAAAAAAGGACUGGAGCUGGAGUUGUUGGAUACUGGAGCUCUGGCCGUGGCUGUAGCCAUGACCCUGGUAUCUCUGAGCUCCCCAGUCACCAUGACUGUGCUGUGCCUGGUACUCUGCUCUGGACUGGGGACAUUAUAAGCCCAAGGGUCCUUAAUCUUCAGGCAAUUUAUCUAGCAAGAUUUGUUGAAACUGUGGGAGCUGGAAGCCCUGGUCCUCAGGAGACUACCAGCUGGGCUGCUCAGAAGCUGGGGCUGGCAUAGCUCCAGUGGAAGCUUGCCUGUUUUUCAAAGGAAUUUAAUUGAAUACUUGUCUGGAUGAAAUGUUUCUGUUUGGUAAAUUGAGACAUUCCAAAAUAAAAAUAUAGUCAGAGAGGGUUUUUUCGCCAGAUGUAGGGAGCAGGUACAUGGUUUCUAUUUCAACAUAUGUAAAUAUAAAUAUAUAUAUAUGUGUUUUAUGUGAUAGAAAAGUAGAGAGACACAGCUGGCCAUUUUCCUGCCUCCUCUUCAUUAGGCAUAUUAUAUUAUUUUCCUGUUUAUUUCUAUUUUGCCAGUGCUCAGGAGCCCAGAGGUUUAUUGUGCUCAUCGGAGUCAAAUCGCAGAACAAAACAGCCUAAAUCUCUAGUGAGAUUCUUGUGGUUGGAAGCAAGCUGGAGAAGAGCACAGAGGAAGGACAGGGAUCGGCGGGCUCAUUCUGAAGCUGUGCCAGUGCCAGCAGUGCAUGGGGACUACAGAUGAGAGCUUUGUUACAGAAGCAUGAGAUCAAUUCACCAUUCCAGGCCGUGUAGUAAAUGCAUUCCUGACUGGAUGUUACAUCGUUUUUAUGUUCCUGGGACAGCACUGUACUGUGUCUCCUCACUGAAAGAGCCAUGUUCAUUAGAUACAGGAAGUCCUGCUAAUCAUCCAUAACGCAACAUUAACAGCUGCUGGUAGAUCUUUGUAUGCCCACUGAUCAGGGGAGACCUCGCAGGAGAUUUGGUGCUUCUUUGCUGGGAUUGUUCUCCUCAGCAUGCUUCAGAAUCUGAAGUUCUGUAAAAGAAAAAAAAAUAAAAAUAAAAAAGGGCAGUUAAUCCUUAAGGUUGUGAGGAAAACUUUUAAAACAUGCACCAGAUGGAAAUCAAUGUGGUGGUGUCUGCAGGCAGACAUAGGCUGAGAAGCAAUCUGAAGGCUGACACUAUUUGGAUUAAAGGCAAAAGAGCUGCAAAGCAGUCACACAAUUUAGAUAUCAUCAAUACAGUACAGGGGCUCUGCAGUUCUGCAGUGAGCCCUGUCUUGUUUCACAUGGUUGAUAGCUUUGUUUUUGCCAGUGGCUCAAGAUAAACCCAAUUUUCUCUCCUGUUGAUUUGUGGUCCCUUUCUUUUGUAUAGACAACUUCCAUUACUUCCGUUAGCACUGUACACAGAUAGCUGACUCAGGAAUGGAGCUGACCGGAAAAAAAAAUAAAUUCCAAUCUAUGAACAAUAAAUUUAUAUUUCUCCACUUGUUUUCUGCCCAUUUUCUCACAACACAAAAAAAAAAAUUAAAAAAAAAAAGAGAAAAUAGCAUAACUGAUGAAUGGUGAGAUGUUAGGUUUGAACUGUUUUGAUCUAAAUGCUGGAGUUGAUUAGCCUAGUGGCUGCUUUGUGUGUAAUGAAGUCUUUAGGAAUCUGUCCUGGGUGCCAGCAGUUAUUCCUUAGCCCUAGCUUGGGAUCUCUGACACCUCUCUGUGGGUGAGAUAUAGCAGGAUUUCUACAGAUUAUUCUCCAGAACAAUCCAUUGUUCAUGAAGGAGUCCUGCAUAUCUGGCUCCCAUUCAGUUAAUGGGACAAACUCUCUGUUGACAGUGUUGCUGGUUUUGGUAGAGAAAAUACUAAUCCAACAUCCUCCUGGUAAGACUAAAAUAAAUUAUAAAUCCCAAGGUGGUUUACAGUGUCUGGGAGGAAAAGUGCAUAGCAAAUCACGUCUUGUGCCCUGGAAUCCAAGUGGUUCCCCGUUAUCAGCCGUGAACAGGGGAUGUGGUUUCAGGGAGCUGGAUAUUCCAUGUGACACAGAGGUGAUACGGGCCAAAAGCACAUGAAAGCACCUUCAUUCCUGGUCCUUCCAACACAGGAAAAUGCCUAUAAACCAUAACAACCUACUCAGGAGUGAGAGCUCUGCCAAAUGAAUAGCACAGAGCUGGUAGCAGCUGCUGGCUAAAACAGGAAGGCAGCUGGUGUCUAUGGAUAGUGCCCAUGGGGGAAACUGCCCUAAGAGAUGGCAAAGGUAAAGCAGAGCAAUAAUCAAAGAAAUGCCCAUCAUCCUCUGGGUGGAGGUGUUUGUAUGCAGCACCUUGCUACACACCUAAGUGCUGGGCAACUUGAGGUUGUUGAUACUCUGCAAGACCAUACAUGGUACCAUUUGCUUUAAUAGUAGCAAUUAGUGGACCAGUAGAAUAAACAAUGAUUUUAUGAAAAUGAGGACUGAUCCAUUCAUGGAUAGAUCUGGGACAAAGAUUGAAUCCCAUGCUUGUCCUCAGUCAGUGUGCCCCUUGAGGUGUUAAUUGUUCAGCCAGAUAUCACUGCAAUAUCCAUACAACAGAUCAUUUAUUUUUGUACAUCUACUGCAUUACACAAUACCCUGGGGCUCCAAAGCAGCUCUUUGCUGUCAGUAAUGCCUGCUGUAUGCUCUAGUUCAGACAGGCAGAAGAGCAGGUCCCAGAAUCUGUUCACAAAAUUAAAAAAACAAAGAAACCAGUAUAAUGGUGUACCUCAGUUUUGCCCAAUUCACCCUUGCAGGGAAAUGCUCUAUGCCAUUGUAAUAGCAAGGAUUUACAGUAAGAAGCUGCAUUAUGGCAAGUUUAAAUGAAAAUUAAGAAGUGUGUUUCCAACAGUGGGCAUCACUCACUAGGUGAGCACAAAUGCCAAGAGAAACCACCCCAUGACUGAUAAUUAGUAUGGUGUUUUUUGGUAAUUUAUAGACAAGUUGACAGAUAACACCAAGUUUCAUCUGCUACAGACUGUGAGCAAAGCACAUAGGGAUUUGUUUGGUGAGAAGUGCAUGGCAGAAAAUGCAUUGGUUCCAGUCCUCCACCACCUCCUGUCUCUUCUUACCUGGUGUCCCUCCUGUCUUCCCAGCAGCAAGCCUCAAGGGGACAAACUGCAGGGCUGGCACCUUUUGUGCCUGCAGCUCUGUGACAACAGGGCUGCCCCCUUGGUAUUCAAGGUGAUGUAAAUGAAAGUGGACUUAGGUUUCUUGUUUCUGCAUCUUCACCCUUCUUUUUGUCCUUCCCUCCCUUGAAUUUGGGAGCUCAGUGCUGCUGGGAGAAAAGGGUGAGAGAUCUGGCUUUGAAGGAGAUGAAUCCUAGAACAGAACAGGAGUUUACAGGCUCCAGUUACUUCUACCUGGUCACAGAGAAUAAGUUUCUGCUGGUACUGGAUGGUAUGUCCAGACAGGACAAGAUGCUUGAAGCCCUCAAUUGUUAUCUGCUGUCAGCCAACAGCAUAAAAAAUGUAGCACUCAAGUUCUAAAUCCUGAGAAUUGGCCAUGAGGAUGCACAAUAAAUAAGCAUUUAAAUUUCCUUGCACUAGGAAUCUUUAAUGAUUUUGUGUUUUUCUUCACAAAUGUGGAGGCUUGAAAUGAAUUAUUUAGGUGAAAGAUGGCUCUUUCUUAUGAUUAUGAUUUCUUGUCUUUGUCUAUUUAGACACCCGGUACUGUAGGUUAAAGAAACACAUCAGGUUUGCUUUGAUAUCCUUAAACCUGGAAACAAUGGAUUCAUACCAGAGACUGAGACUGUUGUGAAACUGAAGAUGAAGUCUUGGCUUUAGCUGCAGAAAUAAUUUUAACAGGCAUCCACAUGUGUCUAAUAAAAUCAGAUUUCCACCUUUCCAACUGGAGCUUUAGUCACAGCAGCAUAUUUUGCAGUUCCCACUCAAGCCCAGCAGUGUGUGAUAGUAAGGGCACUGUUGCUGGAGCAGGGAAAGUGGAAUCAAACAGCUCACACUUCUGAGCCAGCAAACUGAGCAGGAAAGUGUUAAAUCGUCUCCAGCAAUGCUGUAUGGGAGCCUGCCAGUCAUCUUUGCCUUUAUUUGCAGCUCAAGCAAAGAAGUAGAUCCUCCAAAUUAGGUCAUCUGUUUGCUUCAUUCUGAAAGAUUUUUAUUAAAAUUAAAAGUGUUGUCUGUUUCUUCUCCCAGAGGGAAAACAAACAUUGGCAUCUAAAGUGGUGGAAGACAAACACUUGGUGCUGGGCAACUUGAUUAAAGUAUAUUCCUUGUAAUGAGCGGUGCCUCCCUUAUCCUGCCAUUGUGUUCAGACAAGAAAAAAAAAAAAGGAGGGCCUGCCCUUUCCCAUUGUACAGUCACAUUUUCCAAGUGCAGUGAAAAAGAGUUUUAUAAAAAGCUCUAAAAAAUAACAAAAAAAAAAGAAAGAAAGAUGAACUCAUUUUUUUAGUAAACCACUGAAGCAACUCUUCAACGAAGGCAACCUUGUGCACUUUGUAUGUAGGAAAACUGUUGAAAUUGGUGCUCUAUCUAACCUACCAGAAAAGGAGAGUAACAGUGAUAAAAUGGUCUGGGAUAAAUGUUAUCUGAGCUUUGCUUAAAAGUUUGCUACUAGAAUCAAAGCUGAUUUUUA
This is a long non-coding RNA of Parus major (Great Tit), 10256 nucleotides long. RefSeq lists it as uncharacterized. The transcript has 3 exons. NCBI's taxonomy places the organism in Eukaryota, Metazoa, Chordata, Aves, Passeriformes, Paridae. The record is from RefSeq and is a predicted model, not a curated record.